UUGUCAACAGGGGAUAGCACCAUUAGAACUUUGGGUUAUUUUACUAUUCACGUGAUUUUUAACUUCUGUUUCAAUCCACUUUCUUUUAUUAUUCACGUGUCCUAACAUUAUUGCCAUGAUGGAUUGUAUUUAAUGUUUAGCUCUAGGAUGAUUUUCUUUUUAUUUAAGCAUUUUCUUUUUCGUAUCUCAUCUAAUUCUAUGCUCUACGGUUUUUCCAAAUCUUUCACAACCCCCCCCCCCCCACUUUGUGUUAGACCUAAGACUUGAACCACAAAGUUGGUUUAGAGACGACCUAGGGGUCAUUCCUUAGCUAUAUUGCAUUUCUAAUAUGCAAUCAAAUUUGUAUGGGCCGCGACAGCCCAUCAAAUUUUUGGCGCCGUUGUCGAGGACCAACGGUUCGGUUUUAGGUCUUUUGUUGUGUUUGUGUGUGAUGUGUUUUGUCUCGUGUUGUGAGUGUGAUGUUUUGUUUUGUGUGUUCGUCAUUGUGUGUUUCAUUUAGGUAGCUUUAGUCGCAUAUCUUCAUUGCAUUCUUCUUUCCCACCCUUUUUUACAUGUCUACCUAUUUCGGUUAUGUGAGUAAUGUUUCUU
RNAcentral lists this long non-coding RNA (588 nucleotides) under Vigna radiata. RNAcentral's name for it is "long non-coding RNA (VRAD_LNC015187)". Lineage: Eukaryota; Viridiplantae; Streptophyta; Magnoliopsida; Fabales; Fabaceae. The record is from RNAcentral.